CUGAGUGAGGGCCCUCUGGGUCCAACCUCCCACCCGUGUUUAUUGUACCUUGUUGCUUCGGUGAGCCCGCCUCACGGCCGCCGGGGGGCUUCUGCCCCCGGGCCCGCGCCCACCGAAGACACCAUUGAACUCUGUCUGAAGAUUGCAGUCUGAGCAUAAACUAAAUAAGUUA
RNAcentral lists this unclassified non-coding RNA (172 nucleotides) under uncultured Penicillium. RNAcentral's name for it is "sequence contains ITS1". The record is from RNAcentral. Lineage: Eukaryota; Fungi; Ascomycota; Eurotiomycetes; Eurotiales; Aspergillaceae.